Molecule: long non-coding RNA, 3713 nt
Organism: Scylla paramamosain (green mud crab)
Lineage: Eukaryota; Metazoa; Arthropoda; Malacostraca; Decapoda; Portunidae
Exons: 7
Source: RefSeq, a predicted model, not a curated record
UGUGUCGUGUAGUGAGAGUGUGUGUUGGUUUCUGUGCUUUCCUUAACACUUAUUUGUGGUCAAGGUGGAAUGGACCUGCCCCAGUCCUGACCGAAGUCUGAUCCCGUUGGCCCAGGAGAGCUCCCAGCCAGACUCCGAAUACUAGAAGAGGGCACAGCGAUGACCGUCCCUCCAUACAUAUACCGCCCUGUUGUUGCGCAUGGAAAGACUCUCAGUGCAGAUUGUGGUGCUCGUGUGUCCUCGCAGUCAGCCAGACAGUGAUGUGGCGUGGGAGGGCUCCUGCUGACAGUCUGCUAUUGGCGCCUCUGUCCUCCAGCGACUCGGAAAAAGGAAGGUCGCCACAUUCUUCUCUCUCGCGCCCCACCGACCGAUGAAAUCGAGCCCAGGUCACUCGCUCCCUCUCAAGGCGAAGAGUGGCAGCGACAUGGGGUGGUGAGGUGGUAAGGUGGCAGAACAGCGACACUUGUACACCUAAGGGACCGCAUUCUCAGAGGCUUCAGCGUGUUGAUUAAAGGUUGCUGUGAGUGUAUAGGGCAGGCGGACGCACACCUGAGCGCCGGUUGUGAUGUGAGGGACGUGGCACAGAAAGGUUAACUCAAACUUGAUUGCAUAUAUGUGUUUUUAAGUGGAGGCUUUAAAGAGAUUUUGUCCCAGAGCAGGGAAACGUAACUUGUUUGUCUGUUUAAGAGGCAAUUUGCGUGUGGCGGUGUUUUCAUGUAAAAGUUAGCUGAGCGUUUGUAAGGUAUAGCCACUUCCCAAAAAGAGGCAUCCCUUUUUCAAAACUUUUCACCCUCCUCGUGUGUGCAGUUCACCAUCGACUACUCCCUGGCUCUGCGUGUACAUAUACUCUCGUUUUCAAGGAUGAAGUUGACAUCAAGAGCCCAAUGGUGCCUCCCUAAAGAGUGAACUUGAAGCCACACUAACCCAGAAACAACGAGGAGACCUGAUACUGCCUGCGUGUUGUCUCAGUGAUUGUGUCUCGCCCAUGCAGGGAAAGAAAAAGAGGCCAAGGGUUCAAGGGAGAAAAAUGGCCCGUAAUUACCUGAAAGACUCUAUGAAGAACAUACCUGAGAUACGUUUCGUGAGUGGGAAGGGAAGAUUAGGCAGGUGUGUGUGUGUGUGUGUGUGUGUGUGUGUGUGUGUGUGUGUGUGUGUGUGUGUGUGUGUGUGUCGGAGGAAUGGAGGCAUGAGAGGAGGUGGUUCUGCGAUUCAGGUGGAGGGAGGAAGAGGAGGAAGAGGAGGUGAGGGGAAGACACAGCUGCAGCAAGUGUGGGUGAGCGCGUCGGCAGGUGUGGAAUGAGUGGAGGAAUGUGAGUUAUGGCGGUGGUGAUGGUGGUGGUGGUGAUGGCGAGGGUAGUGGUGGUGGUGAUGGUGGUGGUGAUUUUGAUGAUAAUUGCUUGAUAGUGACUACAAUGAAUAGCAGACAAUAACAUAUCUUUACUUAGAUCCUUACUGGGCUGUUUGAUUUCAAUACAUUAUACUCCAUACACAAACUGUGAUAUUAGAAAAAAAUAAUAACUGCAUUUUGAAAGACCAAAGUAUUACGUACAGCUAAGUAAUGACGGUAGUGAUUUACUCUACCUUCUAUGCCCUUCUUCCCUUCCUUCCCGUCAUUCAGCACACUUUACCACUUAACUAAAUCCUAUAAAAGUGCCGAAUCUUCAAAUAUUCAACCAGUAACUCCAGAAAAUUCAUAAAUCUUUAAACACACCAAUAAAAAAACACACCCUUCAACUCAGCAACGCCCCGUUAGACUCUUCCUGGAACUUGCGUCCCCACACAGGAUACAAAGGGCCAGUCAUUAGUACCUCCGAUAAUUAGCGAGCAAAGAAACCGAUGCGCUGCGAAGAAGUUGAAAUUUUCUUUAGCGUGUUUUCAAUUAGGCCGGGCACGUGCCGGGAGGACUGGAGGGAAGGAGAGGCUGAGAAAUGACGCUCUUUAUCACGAAAGUCAAAUUAGUAAUCUAAAUGUGUCCUCUUACGUUUUCUUUCCUGGGUGGGUUUUUAGAAAAGGUAAUAUCAGCUUUCAGUGUGUCUUCUAAGUAUUCCUUAUACUUUUUUUUCUGGAUGGAGGUUUUUGUUAUUGUAAAAUUAGUGUGGUACUAUUUUUUUCAUUGUUAUUAUUGUUGUUGUUGGUGGUGGUGGUGGUGUGGCAAUGUAAAAUUAAUGAUCACUAAGAGUUGCAGAAUUUACUUUUUUCUAGAUUUGGUUGUGAUAGGUAUGAGAGUUGUGAAGCUGGCAACACUGCGGCUCACCUGCAAGUCACAUAAGUGGGACUGAUUGACUGAUGAAUUGAAUGAGUGAGCAGUUUAAUGACACUGAUAUGUGUGAAACCCCGACGUGUGGAGUCCCCUGAAAGAAUGAGGUGUUCUGACUAAUCUUGGUGCUGAAACCUCAUGGAAAAUAUUAAAUACCACUUUGUCGAAACAUCAGCUGUAAUGGGUAUCUAAAACACAUUUACAAAAGAAAGCGUACUGACUAAGAAGAAACAUUUGUGUUAUAUUUAUCUUUAAAACUUUAUGAUGAUAUUAUACUAGUUGUCCAAAAUACAGAUUUCACAAAGCUAGAGGCCUACCAAAAUUAACUAUUACCAUAUAAAGAAAAGCACUGGUAAAUAGUUACGAAAGAGAGCGGGAAUUCAGGAUAAAGCGUUGUUUCAUCAGCCAGUAUCCCGCGGACUAACCAAUCACACUGCACCGGGACCUGCCAAACGUAAUCGCGACACUAAUGGAUUCGGAACAAAAACAAAAACAAAAAAAGCAACAAAUGUACCAACACACUAAGAAAACAAAUAUUCGUGUUGCCUCUCUUCAAAAUCUGAGACAGUGUAGUAGUUAUUCAAAUAUAGAUCUCACAAAAAUAGAACCUUCACAAAACCUUUUAUUAUUACACAGAGUUACGUAGAGUGCGACCAUACAGGAUUAAGUGUUAUUGCAUUGUUUUACCAUCCAGUUUCGUCAUCCAGUUUUGUCACUCUUUAUCCCGCGGACUAGCCAAUCAAACUCCACCGAGACUCGCCACACAUAAUCGCCACAGUAAUGGGACGCCGUAUUAAAAGCUUACGUGAUUCCUGCCACGCGUGCCUUGCCUCGGCGGGGGCUGGCCUUCAGGUGAGUGCCCAGGUGUCUCUCGCUCUCAGGUGUGUCCUCAUUACCGCGGCAGGUGUUCGGAGCGAGGCGGGGAACGAGAUGGCUACAGCACUAGAGCGAGUGUGUGGAGGGAGAGGGUAAUGUGAGGCUUGGAGGGGUAGGGAUGGGGGGUGAGGUGAGUGACAUGACUUAAACGACGUGUUGCAGGUGGGAGAGGAAGCGCUAGGGAGGUGGUGCUGGUGGUGCUGGUGGUGGGUAGUGCGUGGUGGUGGUGGGGAGUCCCUUGCGUCACCGUCAUGAAGUGGUCAGUCAGUCAUGCACCACGUGGGACACAGAGCAAGGCAAAAGGUUCUUCCUGCACGCUCGCCCUUCCUUCCAUUCCAUAUGCAGCUGACAGCUCUCCAUCACUCCCAUCCGCCCCGUCAGGUUCGUCAGGUGUGUGUUGUCCGGUCUUUACUACUUUUCAUUUUGCACAAGCGGCGCCAUGUGAGCUUGUCGCGACACCAUCGGUCAAUCACUCAUUCAUUCAUUUACAAAAGUUGACCAAGGAGCAGAGAGAAAAAAACGAGAGAGAGAGAGAGAGAGAGAGAGAGAGAGAGAGAGAAAGAGAGAGAGAGAGAGGCAG